RNAcentral lists this ribosomal RNA (231 nucleotides) under uncultured eukaryote. Its description in RNAcentral is "partial 18S ribosomal RNA". It matches the Rfam family "Eukaryotic small subunit ribosomal RNA", at positions 1208 to 1456 of the family's 1831-position model. The record is from RNAcentral.
GGAAAACUUACCAGGUCCAGACAUAGUCAGGAUUGACAGAUUGACAGCUCUUUCUUGAUACUAUGGGUGGUGGUGCAUGGCCGUUCUUAGUUGGUGGAGUGAUUUGUCUGGUUAAUUCCGUUAACGAACGAGACCUUAACCUGCUAAAUAGCUACAUGAACCUUUCAGUUUCAUGGGUAUGCUUCUUAGAGGGACUUUGCGUGUAUAACGUAAGGAAGUUUGAGGCAAUAA